Molecule: unclassified non-coding RNA, 143 nt
Filed under: soil metagenome
Description: partial internal transcribed spacer 1
Source: RNAcentral
UAAUAAGUGUUUUAUGGCACUUUUUAAAUCCAUAUCCACCUUGUGUGCAAUGUCAGUCGAUCUUCUUCAUGAGAUUGACCAAACAUCAACCUUAUCUUUUAACACUUUGUCUGAAAAAUAUUAUGAAUAAACAAUUCAAAAUA